RNAcentral lists this ribosomal RNA (292 nucleotides) under uncultured bacterium. RNAcentral describes it as "partial 16S ribosomal RNA". It matches the Rfam family "Bacterial small subunit ribosomal RNA", at positions 505 to 796 of the family's 1533-position model. The record is from RNAcentral.
GUGUCAGCCGCCGCGGUAAUACGGAGGGUGCAAGCGUUGUCCGGAUUUAUUGGGUUUAAAGGGUGCGUAGGCGGCCCGUUAAGUCAGUGGUGAAAUCCCAGGGCUCAACCCUGGAACUGCCAUUGAUACUGACGGGCUUGAGUUCGGUUAAGGCGGGCGGAACUGGUGGUGUAGCGGUGAAAUGCAUAGAUACCACCAAGAACCCCGAUUGCGUAGGCAGCUCGCUGAGCCGAAACUGACGCUGAGGCACGAAAGCGUGGGGAGCGAACAGGAUUAGAUACCCUGGUAGUCC